GACAGAGGGUGCAAACGUUGUUCGGAAUUACUGGGCGUAAAGCGCGUGUAGGCGGCCCUGCAAGUCGGGUGUGAAAUCCCAUGGCUCAACUAUGGAAGUGCACUCGAAACUGCAGGGCUAGAGUCCUGGAGAGGAAGGUGGAAUGCUUGGUGUAGAGGUGAAAUUCGUAGAUAUCAAGCGGAACACCGGUGGCGAAGGCGGCCUUCUGGACAGUGACUGACGCUGAGACGCGAAAGCGUGGGGAGCAAUCAGG
This 253-nucleotide ribosomal RNA is filed under the name uncultured bacterium. RNAcentral's name for it is "partial 16S ribosomal RNA". It matches the Rfam family "Bacterial small subunit ribosomal RNA", at positions 524 to 776 of the family's 1533-position model. The record is from RNAcentral.